GCGGUGCGCCUUAUGCAUGCAAGUCGAGCGAAGCUUUUCAGUAGUUUACUACAGAAAAUGACUGAGCGGCGAACGGGUGAGUAACGCGUGAGCAACCUACCUUAGUUACUGGGAUAGCCCGAGGAAACUCGGAUUAAUACCGGAUAUUCUUAUUUAAUCACAUGAUUUUUUAAGGAAAGGUCAGCCGAACUAAGAUGGGCUCGCGUUCUAUCAGCUAGUUGGUAGGGUAAUGGCCUACCAAAGCUACGACGGAUAGCUGGUCUGAGAGGACGAUCAGCCACACUGGGACUGAGACACGGCCCAGACUCCUACGGGAGGCUGCAGCAGGGAAUAUUGCGCAAUGAGCGAAAGCUUGACGCAGCGACACCGCGUGUGGGAUGACGGAUCUAGGUUUGUAAACCACUUUCAGGAGGGAAGAAAAUGACGGUACCUCCACAA
This 438-nucleotide ribosomal RNA is filed under the name uncultured bacterium. RNAcentral's name for it is "bacterial SSU rRNA". It matches the Rfam family "Bacterial small subunit ribosomal RNA", at positions 39 to 486 of the family's 1533-position model. The record is from RNAcentral.